RNAcentral lists this ribosomal RNA (651 nucleotides) under Rhodococcus sp. (in: high G+C Gram-positive bacteria). RNAcentral's name for it is "bacterial SSU rRNA". It matches the Rfam family "Bacterial small subunit ribosomal RNA", at positions 88 to 753 of the family's 1533-position model. The record is from RNAcentral. Lineage: Bacteria; Bacillati; Actinomycetota; Actinomycetes; Mycobacteriales; Nocardiaceae.
UACACGAGCGGCGAACGGGUGAGUAACACGUGGGUGAUCUGCCCUGCACUUCGGGAUAAGCCUGGGAAACUGGGUCUAAUACCGGAUAUGACCUCCUAUCGCAUGGUGGGUGGUGGAAAGAUUUAUCGGUGCAGGAUGGGCCCGCGGCCUAUCAGCUUGUUGGUGGGGUAAUGGCCUACCAAGGCGACGACGGGUAGCCGACCUGAGAGGGUGACCGGCCACACUGGGACUGAGACACGGCCCAGACUCCUACGGGAGGCAGCAGUGGGGAAUAUUGCACAAUGGGCGAAAGCCUGAUGCAGCGACGCCGCGUGAGGGAUGACGGCCUUCGGGUUGUAAACCUCUUUCAGCAGGGACGAAGCGCAAGUGACGGUACCUGCAGAAGAAGCACCGGCUAACUACGUGCCAGCAGCCGCGGUAAUACGUAGGGUGCAAGCGUUGUCCGGAAUUACUGGGCGUAAAGAGUUCGUAGGCGGUUUGUCGCGUCGUUUGUGAAAACCAGCAGCUCAACUGCUGGCUUGCAGGCGAUACGGGCAGACUUGAGUACUGCAGGGGAGACUGGAAUUCCUGGUGUAGCGGUGAAAUGCGCAGAUAUCAGGAGGAACACCGGUGGCGAAGGCGGGUCUCUGGGCAGUAACUGACGCUGAGGAA